Molecule: ribosomal RNA, 440 nt
Filed under: uncultured bacterium
Lineage: Bacteria
Description: partial 16S ribosomal RNA
Rfam family: Bacterial small subunit ribosomal RNA
Source: RNAcentral
CCUACGGGAGGCAGCAGUGGGGGAUAUUGCACAAUGGGGGGAACCCUGAUGCAGCGACGCCGCGUGGGUGAAGGAGUGCUUCGGCAUGUAAAGCCCUAUCGGCAGGGAAGAAGCAAGACGGUACCUGACUAAGAAGCCCCGGCUAACUACGUGCCAGCAGCCGCGGUAAUACGUAGGGGGCGAGCGUUAUCCGGAUUUAUUGGGGUUAAAGGGGCGGUAGGCGGAAUUUGAAGUAAGGGGUAAAACGCCGGGGCUAAACCCUGGCCUGCCCUUAAGACUGUGCGGCUAGAGUUCGGAGGGGGCAGGCGGAAUUAGUUGUGGAGCGGUGAAAUGCGUAGAUAUCAGGAAGAACACCGACGGCGAAGGCAGCCUACUGGACCGCGACUGACGUUGAAGCUCGAGAGCGUGGGGAGCGAACAGGAUUAGAUACCCGAGUAGUC